CAUCCCGCCUAAUCCGCCCCAACCACCAACAUAUAAAAAUUGUGGACAAGUUGUGUGCGUUUUGAUUGGUUUGGCAUACCAAUUCGGGCACACCCUAGAUCUACUGCAUGUCCUCGAAGGCCCACAGGGUCUGUGAGACUGACAAGCAACUUAUUCGGCUGUCCCCGCAUUUCGAUUUUGCCUUCCUCACUCUUCAAUUCUUAGAGAGAGAGAGAGAGAAAUUGGGUUAUUCCAAGGAUCAGUUGCUUGCAAUCUGCAGAAUCUGUGGACAGAUGAAAGGUGCAUUGAUUAAAGCUUCAUUCUUGAAGCUAUGAUUUUGCAAGACUAGGAAAGAAAUCUUCUAGCUUUACCCUUGCAAUAAAUUUAAAUGUCCUUUUAAUUCCCCUAUAUCUGUGAUAGUACUUGCACUUGCUUUUUUGUGCAGAUAAAUAACAUAGGUUUUAUAUUGUUUCUGCUCUGGUGAAUACAAAGGUAGAUCUUAAAGGUCUAUAUGUUUUCCUAAUUCUUAUCACUUCAUUGGUUCAAAGCUCAACUUUGAAUUUACAGAUGCCGCUGGACUCAUUUAUAUAUGGUCAUAUUAUUGGUUUUUAGUUUAUGCAUUGUUUCUAGUUUCCUUCAUUCUAUUGGGUGAUAUCUGUGGGCCUUGAAGCUGAGCAGCUGUUCUUGGAGGCUUGGCUUGGGUAGAGUAGCUUUGAGAAUGGCUACCCAGGAAGCUUUGGCAGAAAUACUUCAGCAAUGAGUAGAUCUCUUUGUUGCAGACAUUGUUCAACACAGUGUAUACGGAAGGCUUCCAUGCCAGUACGAAGGACAAAUCCAAGCAGAUGUUCAUGAUGAUCAGAUAAUAGAACCCUCUGACAUGGGUAUGAAACUUUUUAAAUUACAGAAAUACCCAUUAGGCUAUGUUGUAACGCGUCAGCUUGAUUUGAGCCUGUAAUUGUUCGAGUUCAGUUUGUUUAACUCGGCACACGAAUGAGCCUUCUAAUGAGUCAAGCACAAGUUGUCCAUGAUUGAUGACUCAGGCUCAUUUGUGGUCCUAAAGUGACUUUAUGUGAACAAAAUGGAGCAGAAAUACAUUUAAGUUGCAUAGAGCCUGAGCAGAUGUGUGUGUGUGUGUGUGUGUGAGAGAGAGAGAGAGAGAGAGAGAGAGAGGUGAUUUCUGUCACUAAACCUGCACAUUGUAUGUAUACUCAUUAUGUUUCUUCCACUAGAAAACUUGAAAGUUGUUUGUUUGUUUUA
Cornus florida is the source of this 1236-nucleotide long non-coding RNA. RefSeq lists it as uncharacterized. The record is from RefSeq and is a predicted model, not a curated record. The transcript is spliced from 3 exons. NCBI's taxonomy places the organism in Eukaryota, Viridiplantae, Streptophyta, Magnoliopsida, Cornales, Cornaceae.